UAUUAGGAGAAACUUGGAACCCUUGAAAUAUUUGGAACCCUUGGAAUGGUUGGAGUACUUAAAAUACUUGGAAUACCAGAAAAUACCUGGACUACCUAGAACCCUUGGAAUAGUUGGAGUACCUAAAAUACUUGGAUAUUUCUGAGCUUCCUUGGAGUUCUUGGAUUUUGUGGAACAUUUGGAAUAGAAACACUUGGAUUAGCUGGAUACCUAUAUGUCAGCUGAGCAAUUGAAUGAUUCACUCAUUUAUUAUUUAUAUCAAAAGACUUGAUCAAAAUAACUCCCAAAUCUCCUAUGCCCUCCGCUGCAGUGUAUAUUUCAAAACAGCGUCGCUGCCGACGUCGACGGCGCAGUCGGCUGCUGUUUCGGCCGCGUCUGCAUUUUCAGUUUUUAGUUGCGCGUCGUUGCUCGAAGCGUAAAGUUGGCGGCCCACCGAGACACCGAGAGACCGAGAGACAAAGCUGAGCUAAAAACGAGAGACAAACUCGAGCGGAGCCACAAACACAGAGACAGCGAAGCAGCGAGCAGCUACCACGGCUGAGUUCACAAAACCUCUGGCAAAUUGUUGACAGCCGACACUCGUUUUCACACUCCAUAACAUUAGCGAGUUGGUUAAACAACAACAAGAACCGCAGCUAU
RNAcentral lists this unclassified non-coding RNA (639 nucleotides) under Drosophila mojavensis. RNAcentral's name for it is "GI11851". Lineage: Eukaryota; Metazoa; Arthropoda; Insecta; Diptera; Drosophilidae. The record is from RNAcentral.